Molecule: long non-coding RNA, 11001 nt
Organism: Halichondria panicea
Lineage: Eukaryota; Metazoa; Porifera; Demospongiae; Suberitida; Halichondriidae
Exons: 3
Source: RefSeq, a predicted model, not a curated record
GUAUUGACCGCAUGCCAUGAGGUGUAUUAGAAGUCAUGAAGGUAUGAAGUAUAUAUUAAAGCUGUAAGAUGGAUGAUUGGAUCUCAUGACUUGAUUCAUGGGCUGACUGCAGCACGUCAAUCAAGAUCUUUAGUGAUCCUACAGCAGUGGAUUCUUUUGCAGUUUAUGUUAUGUCAAUCUGGACAGCAGCAUCUUUGAGCUCAAUCUGUUUCCUGUGUGUCUGCAUCAAAGGAAUUAAUCGGAGGGCACUAAUCUCUCAAGCUAUUAAUGUGCUACCAUAAGAAGGUUUGAAGUAUUAUCAAGGGCGUAUAAAAGAAGAGAGGGCAUGCAACUCCUAUAUGAGCAGAGUUCAAACGUGGGCAGAUGACAGUGCGUGAAAUGCUAAAAUAGAAACUUCUAUUUUUAGCACUUCAUGCAAAUGCACACAUUCCUCUGCCCACGUUUGAAUUCUGCUAGCUACGUGUACUGAUAGUGGAGUUGCAUGCCCUCUCUUCUUUUAUACGCCCUUGGUAUUAUGUAAUCCCUUAAUAACUGAGGCUAUCGAUUAGUAGCCUUGGAGCUAUACAUGUACUCUUUGAGUCUUACAAACUCAAGAAGUUUUUGUGCAAGCUGGAUUAAAUUAUAAUUAUAGCCUUUCUUAAGACGAGGAAAUAAAUAGCGAGCAUGCCCUACAGCAGUGGAUUCUUUUGCAGGUGAAUUUACACAUAGCACAUUUGUUUGGUUAUGCGACAGUUUAGGUGCACUAGCUGUACGUAUUAACCCUAAACAUCUUUCUUCUGUUUAUAGUUUAUGUUAUGUCAAUCUGGACAGUAGCAUCUUUCAGCUUAAUCUGUUCCCUGUGUGCAUCAAAAGAAUUAAUCGGAGGGCACUAAUCUCUCAAGCUAUUAAUGUGCUACCAUAAGAAGGUUUGAAGUAUUAUGUAAUCCCUUAAUAACUGAGGCUAUCGAUUAGUGGAGCCUUGGAGCUAUACAUGUACUCUUUGAGAUACUACUCUUACAAGCUCAAGAAGUUUGUGUGCAAGAGUAAAUUAUAAUUAUAGCCUUCUUAAGUGUAAAAGACAAGGAAAUAAAUAACGAGCAUGCCCUACAGCAGUGGAUUCUUUUGCAGGUGAAUUACACAUGGCACAUUUGUUUGGUUAUAUGCAACAUUUGAGCUGUACGUAUUAACCCUAAGCAUCUUUCUUCUGUUUAUAGUUUAUGUUAUGUCAAUCUGGACAGCAGCAUCUUUGAGCUCAAUCUGUUCCCUGUGUGCCUGAAAAGAAUUAAUCGGAGGGCACUAAUCUUUCAAGCUAUUAAUGUGCUACCAUAAUCACUAUUAUGAAGGUUUGAAGUAUUAUGUAAUCCCUUAAUAACUGAGGCGUGUAAUCAAUAAAUAAAAAAAUUAUUAGUGGAGCCUUGGAGCUAUACAUGUACUCUUUGAGAUACAAGCUCAAGAAGUUUGUGUGCAAGAGUAAAUUAUAAUUAUAGCCUUCUUAAGUGUAAAAGACGAGGAAAUAAAUAGCGAGCAUGCCCAGUUACCAAGCAAUUGGAGCCGCCUCCUGUAUUAUAGGUAGCAUGACAUUUAGUGCACAGUUGUGAAACAUUCCAACAUUGAUGAUUGGGUGGUACAUCCAUUCCCCCCACCCACCAUCUUGCUGAGAUAUUUAUAGUCAUGUAGUGUACAUGUGUAACGUACCGUUCUAGUGAUGUGCACAGACUUUUCAAAGUGGUGGCUAUUUUCAGCCCUCAAUCUCAUUUCAGCACAGAAAUUUACCUCUUUUGUGUAAUGUAUACUAGGCCCACGAGGUGGUUAGUACCAAGCACCGCUGACACUGUGGGCACAUCUCUGCCUUCUUAUGCAUCAUGAAUUUUUGGCCAAGGCACAUACAUACAUACUUGGUCGCGAGAGUGUGCAACUCGAUUGCGCAAAGAUGCGUUGGGGGGGGGGGGGGUUAUCUCCACUUUUUUUCCCCAGACUAUAACUCCCAAUUAUAACAACUUUUUGUAAAUUUAACCACCUGGAUGAGCGUAAUUAUGCCUCCGUAUGUGCAAGCAAGUUGGUGUGUCUGUCUCUAGCUGCUACAGUUGUUCAAUGUUCGAUGAAAGAGGUUCUAGUCAUGGGUUUUGUGGAUUAAUAGUAUAGAAGAGGAAGUAAAGAAGAGGAAGUAUAGAAGAGGAAAAAGUGUAUAAAAUAAUCUGACUUGCAUCUGUUCAAUUGUAUAAUUAUGGUAGUUUUGUGGCUACUUUAUAUACCAUGGACCUCAAGGAUCUAGGAAACAACAAAGAAGAAGAUUUUGUUUUCAAUGAAUUAUAAGCGGAAGUGCAUAAUUUUACUUCAUGACCAACAAUCAUACAAAUUUAUCAUUUUCUUUUCUUUUAGUGCCUCUCGCUCAAAAGUAUUAGAGUGUUAAUUAUGAUUUCAAAUUGACAAAAUAGGUGUUAGCAAUUGAAUGAACAUUAAACACAGUAACAAUUUGAAAAUAAUGUGUUUAAGUGAUAAUAGAGCACAUUGUGCUCGCAUGUUUAGUGUGUGUGCACGCGUCCAUGUGAGUAUGCAUGUGUGGUACAUACGUGUUUGUGUGUAUAUGUGGUAUAAUUACAUGCAUGUAAGUAAAUGUGGGUGUGUGUGUGUGGACUAUGACAUCAGAGAGAAACACUGUGUGAAAAAGCUACUGUUCAUUGUCGGGAUCAAUGCUAAGAUCAAGCCUAAUCUCUUUGGAGCAGAGUAAGGGCAAGUAUGAAAUUUUUCUCCUUCAUUGCAAUUUUGACAGAGGUAAAAUCCAAUGAUGCCUUCAUCAAAUUCGAAAUCAGGAAUAUCUGGGGCGUACACAUAACCAGGGCUUGAUACGUGAUUCCUUUGGUGUCUUGAUAUCAACUGUUGACCAUCCGGGCACUUUGUUGAAGUUGUCAGCUGCUGGAUUGUAGUCACAUGCGUACGUUCCGUCGGGUGUUUCGUACAGGUACGGUUGUAACAGUUCUCUAAGCACUAAUGACUCCCAUUUAUCAGAUGUUCCGCAAUAUAAGGAGUGGGCAAAAAAGAUAUUUUCCAAUUGACCAUUGGGAUGUCCUACUCCAUGCUUGAAAUUUUCCUUCCACGUGCGUGCCAGAAGAUUGAUCAAUUCAGUAUCAUUGUAUGGAAAUUCCAGUGGAAGUUGGAAGCUGACGAUCGUCUUGGCACGAACAUGCUUCGCCAUAAUGUCUAGGAACAUCGAACAAUCGAGGGGCAUUAUUCUUGGUCGUUCAGGGUUCAUUGGUAGUGGUCCUAGAAUAGAGGUGAAAUCAAGUGUAUACACAUGCGAGAAAACGUACUCCACAGCAUCAUGCAUUACCUGUGAAAGUUUAGCGUAUAUUAUUUGGUGUUUUAGAGAUAGAUAGCGUGCGAUAAUGAUGUGUAUGAGUAGAGGUAGAUUGGACAGUGUAGCCAUUGUAAAGGUAUGAAUGGGGACUAUACUGUUGUAACUUUCUACACUGAACGAUCUUCACCUGGCUGGAGCAAUUUGAGAUACUGAACGAUCUUCACCAUGAAGCUCUGGCCAGGGGGGGGGCACGCCCAACUAGCUCUGAACAUGUGUAAUGAUAUAAAUGAUCUUUACAACACUUCAAUAAUAAUUAUUUUUGGCAAGAUAAUAAUAAUCGUGAACAAUAAAUAAUCAACAAAUCUAGUUCGCAACAGCUAGCAUGCAAUUGUUCAGUCUUUAUGUUGUAUGAUCGUCAACCGCUGGACAUGCUUGAGGUUGAGGACAAGGCCUCCGGAUCUCGACGGUGUGGGCGUAUCUAGCAACGGUGUUGUGGUUGCAGGGAUAGGGGUUCUUCUAGAGUACGGGGUGUUUGUCCUGGUCCUCUGUAUUGGCACGUCGUGGCCCUGUUGUCCAUGUCCUGACAGCUAGACAAGCAUCAGUGAACUCACAUCGAAUUGAGUAUAACGAGCCAUGGCCAUAGAAAGGUGGGAGAGGGAGGAGAGCGCCGUUAUACUGAAUGUGAGGAGGAUAUGGAUAUGGAGGAUAGUCCAUCGGAUGAAAUCGACCUGGUAUAGGUAGGAGAGGUAAAUUUCUGAAGGGUGCCCCUGGUGGAGAAAAAGGGGGGAUGAGAGGUGGGUUGAGAGUUGUUGUGGCUGGUGCGGAUGGUGGGUUGAGAGUUGUUGUAGCUGGUUCGGAUGGCGGGUUGAGAUCUGCUGUGGCUGUUGGUGGGUUGAGAGCUGCUGUGCCGGCUGGUGGCGGGUUGAGAGCUGUGACAGCUUGGUUCAGUAAUGAAUCUUCCUCUUCCAUAUAUAUCUUCAGGGACUUGUUCAACGUAGAGAUUUCUGAUACCCAGCAGUUUAUCGUCAGACAUGUUUAAUUUUCCUCUUGAUCUUCUCUCUUGGCUGUUUGACUGGAUUGUGAAGCAUUUUAAUCACCAGCGCUUGGUCAUCUGCUAUUGCAUUUGUCACCCAAUCAUCACAAAUGUUAAUGUGUGCAUACAAUGAAUUGUUAGCUUUCAGCCAUAACUCAAUCUCUCUGGGGAUACAUAGUCGUACAGAUAAUGUCCUUUGUAGGACAAUUUACGCUUUAGUUUUAGUGGAACUAGCUGACACUCUGAAGGUAACCUUGGAAGGAUAUCGCACACAGUGUCUACUUUUGAUGGUACAUUUACAGCUGGGCCAUGUAUACACUUUUGCUUUCCAGUUGGGAGUGCUACCAUCUUCAUAAACGGUACACGCAAUGCAAUUAACCUACGCUCUAGUGCAUUCAAACACUUCAACUCAUGAGGCUCACUGUCUAGUUCCAUACCAUUGAUUUUAGCUUGAGCAGGCAUGACACCUCUGGUAAUUGAACCAUCACAUGUUUUACACACCCACUGGUUCCCAUCGAUUUUACUGGAGUGUGCAUGCUUAGAUAGCUUUUCGAGUAGGUUGGGGACAGCUUUAGUGUACUUACAAGGCUUGAAAUGCACUACAGUAUGUCUAUACAACAUUUUGUGGCAGCUAGUACAGACAAAAUCAGGACCAGUUCUCACCUUUGCGAGAAACUUAUCAAUUACAACAUCAAUUGUUUUUGUACAAUGUCUGAUAGUAGACAUUGUACGUCUUUUUUUUUCCCGCUCAACAAUUUCUUGCUGAGUUUCGUUACUCCUCUUACGAGAUGUAGAUUGCUUAUUAGCAUUUUUACGUACAGCAGUCUGAGGCUCAGUCUCCUUAUCUCUAGCUUGAGACGUGUGUGCAGUGUUCUUAGUUCUACGUACAAGAGUCUGAGGCUCUGUCUCCUUAGCUCUAGCUUGAGACGUGUGUGCAGCGUCCUUAGUUCUACGUACAUCAGUCUGAGGCUCUGUCUCCAUAGCUCUAGCUUGAGACGUGUGUGCAGUGUUCUUAGUUCUACGUACAAGAGUCUGAGGCUCUGUCUCCUUAGCUCUAGCUUGAGACGUGUGUGCAGCGUCCUUAGUUCUACAUACAAGAGUCUGAGGCUCUGUCUCCUUAGCUCUAGCUUGAGACGUUAAUGCAGUGCUCUACGUACAACAGUCUGAGGCUUACUUUCAUUAGCUCUAGCUCGAGACAUGGAUCGGGUAUUGUAGCAUUUACGCACAACAGCUUGUUCCUCGGUCUCAAUAGCUCUAGCUAUACACAUGGAUUUGCGAUUUUUCGCUUUACGCGAUAGUGAUUUGUCAAGACUUUCAGUCGCUAAUGCUUGUCUUGCAACCAAUUUCUUGCUAACCUUUGAUUGUUUCACAAGAAAGGGGUGUCCACAGUUAGUGCAUACUGAUCGUCUUAUAUGGCCUGUAGCCAAACAGUGGGAGCAAACCUUUGUCAAAGGCAUAGUCAGCCAGUAGUCUAGUCUGUGAGAUAUAAGUAUUAAAGACAGAAUUCAAUCACAGAAAGAAGAAUCUAUAACAAGCAAUCUAAAAGGCUAUAUCUUGUGCACACACAUCUACAGUAUUCUGGUAUCAUUGUAGUGUUUUGUGGCUUACCAGGACCACAAAAAGAAUUGAUUUCUGCCAGGAUCUGGGUUAAAAUGGAGUCUCUCACACGUGGUAAUGAGCGCAUGUGCAGGAAUAAGGGGUGUGUCGGCAAGUUACAGAAUGGCUACUAAAAAUUAAUAGCUAGCUUCUUCAGCAGCUCUUUCUGACUCUUGUAGCUAACAAAAAGCUAGCGCUUUAGUGCAAGGCUAACUUAUAUGUUGACUAGAAAGUUUGUGCGAACAGAUGAUGCUAUAAAAGAUUCUGAAGAGACUGCAACAUCCUUCAAUGUGAGUCACUAGCCAUAACUUGAGAAAGAAGCUUUAGUUUGCUAAUCCACGAAUCAAAAUCCAAGAGAUCGUGACUAGAAGCCUAUAGAAGCUGUCAGGUUUUGUUGUAUUGCAAAAUUACAGCUGGAAUACACACACACACACACACACACACACACACAGUCAGCUGUACUCGUGCGGCUACGCCUCGAGGCAUAAUUACUUUACCUAGAAACUGUGCUGGAGGUUUAGAGCCUAAAACUGCACCAACAAACAAAGACUUAGGAGAACUAGAAGUAAGUGAUAAGUGCAUGUGAAAACUUAGCUGCUUAAGCCUCCCACUCACUUUUGCUUUUAAAUGCCAUCUAAGUCUAAACUAAAAAAGGAGACAGGGUCAGAUUCACGAGCUGCAACUAAAUUGACUUCAUGUUUUAGCGUCCCCCUUAAUAAACAUGCAUGCAGGGUUUCUACUUUGCUGCCAUGCGGAUUGUGCAUUCUCAUUGCAAUUGCACGAGUCAUGUGCUAAUUUGCCAGGCCGCCUUUUUCUUCGCGGCUGGAAUUGAGGCUAGUUUCUUGCACACCCAAGUGGAAUCCAGUGGUUUGUACAUUUUAUUGCUUUCAUCGUUGGUGGCGUUCACAUACAAAUUUUCAACUUGAAAUGUGGACAUAUACAACAACAACAACUAUAAUAUACGAUCCAAAUCAAUGAGUACUACGUGAGGCAUUUGCGGUCCAUAAUUGUAUAAGCAAGAUACUUAGAAAGUAAAGGAGUUAUUGUGUAUUCUUACCUAGUAGCAGGGUGACUUUUCCUUGUCCAGUGUUGGCUUAGAAGAUUUGUUUGCAUGCAUGCGCCUCAUGAAACAGUGAGCUUGUUGUUCUGUCUUACUGAAAAGGUGGUCGAGCAAAAUCCUUCCGUAAGCCAUAGCACCCUUGGAAAUAAGGGUGAAGAAAUAAUUAGAAACAGUGUAUAAUUUAUGUACAGCAACACAUACAACAUACACCACAUGGAUUCCUUACUUAAUAUGGCAACUAAAUCACUAAUGAUUGAUAUGUUAGUUCCUUGCCCAAAUGGUAGGUGGGCGGGGUAAUCCCCAUGAAUGAUGAGAGUGUGUAAAAGGGAUUUCGUCAAGUUUAACAACUGAGGUAGACGCUGAUGUAAGUUUCAACGGUGCAGCACGAUCAGGAUAAUGGCGUUUUGUACCUAACCUAGGCUUCACUUUUUCUGCUUUUCCUGCCAUUACUUUACUUACAGCGAACUAAAGUAUGAAACAAAGCUAGUACCUUAACUUUUACACUGUACAUACCACGUGCACGCCCUACUGGUCGUCAUUUAAAAAUGCUAGUCUGGGGGCCAGACCUAAUAGCUCGGGGGCAAAAUAUGACGCUAUCUUCCAUCACCAUACCCGCUUGUCAACCUUUCUUAAAGUUUUUGAGAGUAGCAAAUUUGCUGAAAACUUCCUCUUGAAAUUCACAUGCAUGUAUAAUGAACAUGUAUUGUCACAAUUAAUGUCAGUCUGAAAGGCAGAGGAGAGCAACCUAGUAUAAUCCAUAAACCAACAGUUUGACUGGAUACAACCAGUACAGUCUAUUACCAAUUGGCUCAACCUAGGACUGGCUCUCAAAGAAGAAAUGCUCGAACGAUCACACUUGGCAGUCCAAACAUCAUAAAAACCUGCAUGCACUUAAGUUGGUACCUUGUAGAGAUGCAGCAACUCCAGACAAGUCUAUUUUCCAUCGGAGGAGUGAGUACAACGAGUGCAAACUUGGUAGAGUCAUCGCAAAUCGUAAGAAUGUACUGAUUGCCUUGAGUGGAGCAAAUGAGAGGCCAAUAAAAUGAAUACCGAGAUGGUGGCAAGGUGAAGUCAUUGCAUGCACGUAUGGCAAACCCAUUUAGAUUUAUGUCACUGUUAAUAAUAAUCGUAAUCAUAAUAAUUAUCUAUUGACAUAAUUAUGCAAAACAGGUCAUCACUUUAACUCGUUCGGUUCGUUCUCCCGUAUAUCCCUGAGACACACAAAUGCCGAAUUCAGCCAGACUCUCAACAUUUCUCUCCUUAAAUUCGAAUAACACCCUCUCCAGAAGGGAAUUCUCUUGGACACUGCAGGUUUAAUUCACUGACUGUAAAAUCGAAUGUGGGCAGAAGUACAAUUCAUGCACUCACUGUCUGAAUUGAAUUUUAGUCUUUCUAAGACUCUGUGUCUGAACCGGUAUUAUUAUUUUGACAGUGAUUAACACUUUGUUAAUCGCGCACGGCCCCAUUUUUUUCCGUGCUCUUGAGCUCCCUCUGCUUCCAUCUCUAGAAACGCUUUAGAUCAUGUUUGUCAUAAAUACUGCAACCUGAUUGGUUAGAGGAAAUGUUCUAGAAAAUUAUACUUACUUAGAAAAUCAUGUACCAAAGAUUUGAUCAAGAUAAGAUAAUAAUCAGUACAUAAUAAUAAGCAAUACCUUGAUGACAAUGAGUGUUUUCUUUGGUAGUGUUUCCUUUCUUGCUUGUUCUACUUCUUUACUUGACUUUGGGGGAGCGAAUUUUCUUGCUUUCUUUGCCACUGGAGCAGUAAGUAGGUUCUCACUGGCUGUGGAAGAGAGCAAAUAGUCUACGAACUCUUCGUCUUGCAGGUCAGAGAGAGCAGAUAGGGGCUAGUUGCUGCAAAGACAGAGCUGGAGGUGUGGCUGGUUUGGAAGGAGGGAAGGAUGUGGGCUGGGUCUCAGUAGGUCUAGAAACCGUGUAAUUGUAAUAGGCGAACUCAAGAAAGCGUUCGGCACCGGAGGAGGCUCAGAAUCCAUUGUUUGUGCGUUCAAACCAUUGUUGUCAGGUGUAUGAGCGUUGUUGCUAUGAUCUAAAAUGCUUAGACACUGUUUAGGAAGUUUCCACGUGAUUUAGAAGCCCAAAGGGCGUUCUGUAGAAUCCCGAAUAUAGACACAAGAAUUUUAUCUCCAGAGUGAUGCACAGUCUUCAGAGGUUUUGGGUCUAGUGGAAAGCCACUUUCGUCCAUGUUAAAAGGAUAAUCAUAGAGGCUACUUUCUUUGAGUUUGUUCGAGGAUGAUAUCGAAAUAACUGUUAAUACACUCUCGAGAAGAAAAUCCUUUCCUGGCAAGUUGCAAAAGUUCUCAAACGUAGCUUUUUGUGGCGACACAUAAAUGUAUGCCACCAUCCUCUAGUAACACUUCUUCGAAUUCCCCGAUGGAAAAGCAUACAAGACAUUAUGUCAAUAAAUUUAUCUUUGCAAAUAGGGUUGGCAUUAGGCUCAUGGCAUCUCAAGGUGCUCCCCGUGUAUACAUACAUGCAAGUAAACAGCCGAGGGUUAGCACUUUAGUGCUCUAGUUUGUUACCCGAGGCGCGGGGUAUAGUCCGUUAGUUUGUUUGUUUGUUUGUGACACAUGAGUCUACUCAACCUGGAUUCCAUAGCCUUCACACAACAAGUUAUUUAUUAGUUUUAUUGUGGCAGAUUUUGAUGUUUAAGUUUCGUUGUUUAGAUGUACACGCGGCCUUUAUUCGAGGUAUCUACGUAUUUACAGCUGAAGUGAUCCUGUACCAGAAACAAUGGAACAGGGUCACUAAAAUAGAAAGCUAGAAUUGUAGCUACUGUUGUAUAACUGAUAGCUAUACACAUAUAAGUGAUUAUGUAGAUUACGUACAGACAAAAUUAAUGUCUUUCAUAAUUAUUGGAGAAUGAGUUGACAUAUCCUGACCAGACAUGGAAAAUCAAUAUAAUUUUUGUAACAAUAUUUAGUCACUGCAUGUGGAUGUGGUCUUUGAAAGCAGAUGAACGUAGAAGGUUUAUAGAGCUAGCUAGAGCUGCUCUGUUGAAGUUUUUUACACCUUCAAGGUGACUUGAGAACUGAAUACACUUGGAACACUUCAGGGAAGACACAACAGUCAGUCAGCCAAGAAAUUUUAUUCAAUAUUUUGUCAUUUUCAGCAAUCCAUUAUUUUGUUACUAAGAACUGAACACACUUGGAACACUUAAGGGAAGAGACAACUUCAAAUUUUCAGCCAAGAAAUUGUAUUGAAUAUUUUGUCAUUUUCAGCAAUCCAUUCUUUUGUUACCAAGUGCUUCUUUCUUGGAUGACUAGCUAGUCUGAAGGCCUUGGUCUCUUGCUUUAAUACCAUACUGUAACAAAACUACUAUUGAUCUGACAUUUUGUCCAUACAAACUGAUUAUUGUCGAUGAUUAGACCGGAAAUUGUCCGGUGACUGACUGUUAUUAUAAACCACUGCUUUAGUGCUCUAGUUUGUUUGUUUGUGACAGCUGAGCCUGCUCACCUGGCUGCCAUAGCACUGCGUUUACAGCAUGGAUAUACACAAGUUAUUAGUUUUAAUAGUGUUAAAGCUUCGUGGUCGUAUAAAAACGAGCAAAGCUUGAACUUGCACGUUAGCUAACUAGACUACACGCGGCCUUUAUUUGAGGUAAACUGCGUAUUUACAGCUGAAGUGAUCCCUUACCAGAAACUACGGAAAAGGCGCUCAGAAAGCUAGAAUUAUGAUCGUAACCAAAACCCCAUUCUCAAAAGUUUCAACAACCCUCUAGCUGUUACUUGCUGCUUAGCCAGCAUUUAUUAUAAACACUCUUUUGGUUGCAUACACACACACCUGUAGAUCCUGUCUACAGCCGAGUGGGUUAGCACUUUGUGCUCUAGUUAUCAAUAUUAACGGCAUCUCGCCACAGAGAGACUUGUGUACGCCUACAGAUAAUUAUGUCACAACCUGGUACAGGAUAGAAUGUCUUAAUUAUUACCCGAGGCGCGCGUGGGCGGCCACGGGUAUAGUAGUCUGUUGGUUUGUCUGUUUGUCACGGGUAUAUCUACUCACCUAGGUACCACAGCGCUGCGU